UCUAUGAAAUGGUAGACGAACAGCUAAGGAAAAAAAAUGUCGAAAAACGAGCCCUUGAUAUUUCUAAUUCUUUGGGGAAAAUUUCUCUGUCUUCUUCUAUGUCUCCUCGUCUGUCUUCUUCUCUCUCUUCUUCUCUAAAUUCUUCCGGGGAGAAA
This 155-nucleotide non-coding RNA is filed under the name Paramoeba aestuarina. The record is from RNAcentral. Lineage: Eukaryota; Discosea; Flabellinia; Dactylopodida; Paramoebidae.